CAGCAGCCACGGUAAUACGUAGGUGGCAAGCGUUGUCCGGAAUUAUUGGGCGUAAAGGGCUCGCAGGCGGUUUCUUAAGUCUGAUGUGAAAGCCCCCGGCUCAACCGGGGAGGGUCAUUGGAAACUGGGAAACUUGAGUGCAGAAGAGGAAAGUGGAAUUCCACGUGUAGCGGUGAAAUGCGUAGAGAUGUGGAGGAACACCAGUGGCGAAGGCGACUCUCUGGUCUGUAACUGACGCUGAGGAGCGAAAGCGUGGGGAGCGAACAGGAUUAGAUACCCGGGUAGUCCCUGUCUCUUAUAC
Molecule: ribosomal RNA, 301 nt
Filed under: uncultured bacterium
Lineage: Bacteria
Description: partial 16S ribosomal RNA
Rfam family: Bacterial small subunit ribosomal RNA
Source: RNAcentral